RNAcentral lists this transfer RNA (72 nucleotides) under Hyalangium minutum. It matches the Rfam family "tRNA". Rfam says of the family: Transfer RNA (tRNA) molecules are approximately 80 nucleotides in length. Their secondary structure includes four short double-helical elements and three loops (D, anti-codon, and T loops). RNAcentral also lists the same sequence under 1 other name. Lineage: Bacteria; Pseudomonadati; Myxococcota; Myxococcia; Myxococcales; Archangiaceae. The record is from Rfam by way of RNAcentral.
CUUGGAGUAGCUCAGGGGUAGAGCAGCCGGCUUGGGACCGGCAGGGCGCAGGUUCGAAUCCUGCCUCCAAGU